AGGACGAACGCUGGCGGCGUGCUUAACACAUGCAAGUCGAACGGAAAGGCCCGCUUGCGGGUACUCGAGUGGCGAACGGGUGAGUAACACGUGGGCAACCUGCCCUCAGCUUCGGGAUAACACUUGGAAACAGGUGCUAAUACCGGAUGAUAACCUUUCACCGCAUGGUGGUUGGUUCAAAGUUUUUCGGCUGAGGAUGGGCCCGCGGCCUAUCAGCUUGUUGGUGGGUGAUGGCCUACCAAGGCGACGACGGGUA
Molecule: ribosomal RNA, 256 nt
Filed under: uncultured bacterium
Lineage: Bacteria
Description: partial small subunit ribosomal RNA
Rfam family: Bacterial small subunit ribosomal RNA
Source: RNAcentral